This 1372-nucleotide ribosomal RNA is filed under the name uncultured bacterium. RNAcentral's name for it is "bacterial SSU rRNA". It matches the Rfam family "Bacterial small subunit ribosomal RNA", at positions 28 to 1381 of the family's 1533-position model. The record is from RNAcentral.
GAUGAACGCUGGCGGCGUGCCUAAUACAUGCAAGUCGAGCGAACGGACGAGAAGCUUGCUUUUCUGAUGUUAGCGGCGGACGGGUGAGUAACACGUGGAUAACCUACCUAUAAGACUGGGAUAACUUCGGGAAACCGGAGCUAAUACCGGAUAAUAUUUUGAACCGCAUGGUUCAAAAGUGAAAGACGGUCUUGCUGUCACUUAUAGAUGGAUCCGCGCUGCAUUAGCUAGUUGGUAAGGUAACGGCUUACCAAGGCAACGAUGCAUAGCCGACCUGAGAGGGUGAUCGGCCACACUGGAACUGAGACACGGUCCAGACUCCUACGGGAGGCAGCAGUAGGGAAUCCUCCGCAAUGGGCGAAAGCCUGACGGAGCAACGCCGCGUGAGUGAUGAAGGUCUUCGGAUCGUAAAACUCUGUUAUUAGGGAAGAACAUAUGUGUAAGUAACUGUGCACAUCUUGACGGUACCUAAUCAGAAAGCCACGGCUAACUACGUGCCAGCAGCCGCGGUAAUACGUAGGUGGCAAGCGUUAUCCGGAAUUAUUGGGGGUAAAGCGCGCGUAGGCGGUUUUUUAAGUCUGAUGUGAAAGCCCACGGCUCAACCGUGGAGGGUCAUUGGAAACUGGAAAACUUGAGUGCAGAAGAGGAAAGUGGAAUUCCAUGUGUAGCGGUGAAAUGCGCAGAGAUGUGGAGGAACACCAGUGGCGAAGGCGACUUUCUGGUCUGUAACUGACGCUGAUGUGCGAAAGCGUGGGGAUCAAACAGGAUUAGAUACCCUGGUAGUCCACGCCGUAAACGAUGAGUGCUAAGUGCUAGGGGGUUUCCGCCCCUUAGUGCUGCAGCUAACGCAUUAAGCACUCCGCCUGGGGAGUACGACCGCAAGGUUGAAACUCAAAGGAAUUGACGGGGGCCCGCACAAGCGGUGGAGCAUGUGGUUUAAUUCGAAGCAACGCGAAGAACCUUACCAAAUCUUGACAUCCUUUGACAACUCUAGAGAUAGAGCCUUCCCCUUCGGGGGACAAAGUGACAGGUGGUGCAUGGUUGUCGUCAGCUCGUGUCGUGAGAUGUUGGGUUAAGUCCCGCAACGAGCGCAACCCUUAAGCUUAGUCGCCAUCAUUAAGUUGGGCACUCUAAGUUGACUGCCGGUGACAAACCGGAGGAAGGUGGGGAUGACGUCAAAUCAUCAUGCCCCUUAUGAUUUGGGCUACACACGUGCUACAAUGGACAAUACAAAGGGCAGCGAAACCGCGAGGUCAAGCAAAUCCCAUAAAGUUGUUCUCAGUUCGGAUUGUAGUCUGCAACUCGACUACAUGAAGCUGGAAUCGCUAGUAAUCGUAGAUCAGCAUGCUACGGUGAAUACGUUCCCGGGUCU